UCCCUGGUAGUCCAGUGGUUAAGACUGUGCCCUUCCAAUGCAGGGGCUGCAGGUUUGACCCCUGGUCAGGGAA
This is a non-coding RNA of Bos taurus (domestic cattle), 73 nucleotides long. The record is from Rfam. Lineage: Eukaryota; Metazoa; Chordata; Mammalia; Artiodactyla; Bovidae.